This is a long non-coding RNA of Balaenoptera acutorostrata (minke whale), 1881 nucleotides long. RefSeq lists it as uncharacterized. NCBI's taxonomy places the organism in Eukaryota, Metazoa, Chordata, Mammalia, Artiodactyla, Balaenopteridae. The record is from RefSeq and is a predicted model, not a curated record. The transcript is spliced from 7 exons.
ACUUUUCUGUGUGGGGGUUGUAUUUCAAUUUUUAAAAAAGGUUUUAAAAAUAACUAGAUGUGACUUCCUCUGACAAUGGGUCAUUCCUGACCCUCGUGGCCCCUGGGUUAGGUGCAUCGGCUUGGGGAGCCUGUACUCCAUCCUCCCCUCUCUUAGCUGCACCUGUCAGGGUGUGUGUGGUUCCUAGUGUCCCCAGGUAGAGGACGAGGGCUGACUCUGUCCUGUUCAGUGCUGUCACACGAUGCCCAGCCCAUCGGAGAGGUUCGUGAAAUGACUGUGGAAGGGGUCGCUCCGUAGGCCUGUAACCCUAAGUAAAGCCCUGUUCUUGCUGAAACACUGUCACAAAGGCCAUCAGAAGAGCAGAGGGAGAGGCUGCGACCAAAGCAGAGAAGGAGGCGAGAGCCUGGAAGAAAAAGAAUCUACAGUUCAAGACCGAAGCCACCUGAACCAGGCAGGCUCCUCAAGCUCAGGGAGGACUCCCUGCACGAGCUUCUUGGCGACAGAGAAGGCAAGUGAGGACGAUGAUGCCGAACUUUUCCAAUGGCCACACACAGUCAGUGGUGAGGCAGGGAGGUCGGCGGCCGUGGCAGCCGUGAGGGUAGCCCCCGGGGCCGGGGCGCCUGGCACGCGCCCCUGAAGUUCAUGGCCCAGCGCACGGCCGGCCGGGCACGGCUCUGCGGGCAGUAACGCCUGGCCGAGUGUGACGGGCGAACGGUGGCGAGGCCUGGCUUAGACAGAGUGAAGGGACUUCUCAGCGCCCUUGGGGUGUUGAUGAGCAGCGUGAAGCACCCGGGCGGGGAUACAGCACCCGGCAUCUCCCAAGCUUGUUCCACCCCAGUGGGAAUGCCAGUAUCUUCCUGAGCAGUGUUCCUCGCAUGCCGGUUUGGGAAACACGCCUACUGCUGUGCAGCCAGCCAAAAGGACUUAGUGCUACUCCUGGGAGGGAGUGUGGUGUGAGGCCGUACCGGGGGAGCUCAGGAGUCAGAUGGCUGGGGUUCGUAUCCAGGGUGCAUCACGCUAGAGGGUGAUGCCGUCGUUCUCCUUGACGCCCACAUCUCUACCUACAGCCCACAUCCUCCUCAGUGCCACCACCGUUCAGCUCAGAGGUCAGCUUCCCUGGGAACCUUCAGGGAGAAACACCCAGCUGGGGAGAGGCGUCUGCGUCCUGUGCUUUCUCGCAGCACCGCAGGGACUGACCUAGGGGCGAGGGGCCGGGCAGAGGAACUCAAGAAAAGGAGGCACUAACCUGCAGACCAGAUGCCUGACAUCUAGGAUUUAAGAAUGCUCCUGUGCUCCCCCCAGCCUGGUAUCAAAGGCAAAUGGGGUAACGUGAGGUGAAAAGAGGAAGGGACAGAAGACUGAAAGGAAGGCGUUAAUCACAUUUAUUGAUCGAUGAAUACGGAGACACCUAGGCCGGGAACUUACAUGGACUUCAUGGAUCCUUUUCAAAGUCACCUUCUCCCCACUGGCGGUCUCCAUGUGGUUAGAUGAAGAGACGAAACCUGCAGGAAAAAGGGAAGAAAAUAAGCCCUUGAGGCCUCAAAGAGGAAGCAGAUGGAGAUUCCACCGGUUUCCUAAGGAAAGAAAGCUGGAAGGCUGGAAGCUUUCCCACAGACACGGAAGCAAAGAGACAGGGUAAGCGGGAUGAACUUGGCCGCACAGGACAGGAGAGUGCCAAAAUCUUCAAGCAGAUCACGAAUCACGGACAAAUGCAGUUAGGAGCCAGAGUCAGGAUGCCCAGGACCAGUCCCCGGGGGAGAACCCCCUAUCCUGAGCAAGCACAGGCCUUGCUCAGCCUGUGCGUGAAGGUAAAACCCAGUCUGGGCUGGCGUCCUGGCUGGCAGAGGUCACAAGCAGUGGACACGGGGCCGCAGACUCACG